Molecule: ribosomal RNA, 369 nt
Filed under: uncultured organism
Description: bacterial SSU rRNA
Rfam family: Bacterial small subunit ribosomal RNA
Source: RNAcentral
GAGGUCCCAAGCGUUGUUCGGAUUCACUGGGCGUAAAGGGUGCGUAGGUGGCGAGGUAAGUCGGAUGUGAAAGCUCGGAGCUCAACUCCGAAAUGGCAUUGGAAACUACCUUGCUCGAGGGUUGAAGGGGGACUGGAAUGCUUGGUGUAGCAGUGAAAUGCGUAGAUAUCAAGCGGAACACCAGUGGCGAAGGCGAGUCCCUGGACAACUCCUGACACUGAGGCACGAAAGCUAGGGGAGCAAACAGGAUUAGAUACCCUGGUAGUCCUAGCCGUAAACGGUGCACGUUUGCUGUAAAAGGAAUCGACCCCUUUUGUGGCGUAGCCAACGCGUUAAACGUGCCGCCUGGGAAGUACGGUCGCAAGAUUA